Long non-coding RNA from Papaver somniferum (opium poppy), 941 nucleotides. RefSeq lists it as uncharacterized. Lineage: Eukaryota; Viridiplantae; Streptophyta; Magnoliopsida; Ranunculales; Papaveraceae. The transcript has 2 exons. The record is from RefSeq and is a predicted model, not a curated record.
UAUCUAAAACUUCUUUAGAUUUUUAUUAAGUGGGUGAGUUAUCAUGUAUCAAUAGGGCGACAUGCAUUUUAACUAAGGAAACAAGUAGCAGCUUUAUUCCUAUUCAUUGGGAGUCUAAUUUCUCCUCAAAUCUGACCACAUAUUUUCAUCAACUCAGAUCCCUUCAAUGAAAUCCAGGAACCCUUAUUUCUCAUAAAUUGAUUAACUCAAAACCCUAAACUUAAACUUCAAAAUCAAAUCCUAAAGUCGACUUCCAUGGCGACCAAUUUCAAUCAAGAGUAAUCCUUAGGACUCCUGGGGGCCGAAAGAAAGAUUAAGAGAUGGGGUUGUGGAAUUGAGGAACUGAUGCAUGACACAAUAUUUGAAAGAUUGUGGUGUUGUACACUCUUUGCCUGAUGUUCUGAAGAUGGGUUGAGCUUCUGCUGGUUCCCUUCCCUUUUUCCUCCCUGUGGUUUUAUCACUUCGUCUCUUCUUUUGGUUUGAGUUUGAAUUAUAAUUUUAUUUCUUUUUUGUGUAGCCUGUGUUCUUCUAUUUAUAAGUUUAAUCUUAAAAGUGAGAACCCUUUUAAACAUCUGCUUUGCAUUUUUUUUUUUGUUUUUUUGCCUCCAAAUAUGUGUGUCCAAAUGAAGAUUUCAACCUCAACUCCCAACCCUAAGCUCCUCUGAUCAAUCUAAGCCCCCAAGUAAGUUCGUUUAAACUAGUUUUUUAUCCCCAUCUCUAUUCUGUUAGCGUUUCUCAAUCUUUCUUUCUCUUGUGAUAUUCCUUGUAAGUGUUGUAUUAUAAAGCACACCUUCAAAGUUUUAGUUGUUCUUCAUUUUUGUAAGUGUUGUCUUAAAAAGCACACCUUCUAGGUUACAAUUAUAAAAGGCACCAUACUUCAAAAGAUAUCUCUUGUAAGUGUUGUGAUAUAAAGCACACCUUCUUAUAAUUUUUUGUUUUUC